GAUGAACGCUGGCGGCGUGCCUAAUACAUGCGAGUCGAGCGAACGGGCGAGAAGCUUGCUUUUCUGAUGUUAGCGGCGGACGGGUGAGUAACACGUGGAUAACCUACCUAUAAGACUGGGAUAACUUCGGGAAACCGGAGCUAAUACCGGAUAAUAUUUUGAACCGCAUGGUUCAAAAGUGAAAGACGGUCUUGCUGUCACUUAUAGAUGGAUCCGCGCUGCAUUAGCUAGUUGGUAAGGUAACGGCUUACCAAGGCAACGAUGCAUAGCCGACCUGAGAGGGUGAUCGGCCACACUGGAACUGAGACACGGUCCAGACUCCUACGGGAGGCAGCAGUAGGGAAUCUUCCGCAAUGGGCGAAAGCCUGACGGAGCAACGCCGCGUGAGUGAUGAAGGUCUUCGGAUCGUAAAACUCUGUUAUUAGGGAAGAACAUAUGUGUAAGUAACUGUGCACAUCUUGACGGUACCUAAUCAGAAAGCCACGGCUAACUACGUG
This 497-nucleotide ribosomal RNA is filed under the name uncultured bacterium. Its description in RNAcentral is "partial 16S ribosomal RNA". It matches the Rfam family "Bacterial small subunit ribosomal RNA", at positions 28 to 507 of the family's 1533-position model. The record is from RNAcentral.